UAUCUUGCAGGCAAAUAACGUCGAGUUGCUUGCAAUUGGUUCAAGAUAUGAGUGAGAGACGUCGGAUAUUGGUGUUUGCUUAUUAAUGGAAUUGUUUGAAUUACGCAGCAUAAAGAAGAACAAUAAUGAGUUAAUUGUGGACAUAAUCAAGAGAGGUCUUGUUUUGGAUCACAGCAAAUCACAAUGUGAGGAGAACUUCAUACCAGACAAAAAAGGUGAAAUCAUAAUAAUGUUCAUCAAAAUGGAAGAAUCAAAAGACUUUGUAAUGUGGCUGCAAGUAGGUUCAGACAUGCUGUGCUGUUGGUAGAGAGAGCUAACCCUCCUCUCUCUUUCUUCUGCCACCAAACACGUCCUCCUCUUCCUGCUUCCUUUUCCACCCUGCCUCCUCCACCCCAUAUUUCCUCCUCAUUCACUUCCAACCUUCCCAUUCUCCUUCUGACUUCUACCAUGUCAUGCUCUUCCUCAUGCCACUUCUCCAUACCUCUUCUUUCUCCUGCUUCCACCAACCUCCUCCUCUUCACCCUACCUCGUCUGAUGAGUAAAGGUCAUAACGUUCCUCUAGAGAGCAGCACCUCAUAGUGCUUACUUAUCCUACCAUAUUUAGUACCCUAAUACAUAUGUACUGUAUAUUUGCAGUACAUUCAAGUUAUUGAAAUUAGGUAUUUGCAACAAAGCAGAACAUAGUGAGCGUGUGUAGAAGUUCGAGGUUAUCACAAGAGUAUGUGGAGACUGCACAUGAAGGGCGGUGAAAUGCUUGUCACUGGAGUGCCAGACUUGGAGUAUUCAUAAAAAAUUCAAACCAUCAAAUGUCAGUCCAAUUUAUUUGGAACCUCAUCAAGAGAAGACUAUGUCAGGUAGAAGAAGGUAACAGCAUUUAGAAGAUUCUUGGAACUCACAUUGCCAUGAAGAUGAGCCAUCUGUGACACAGAGAUCUUAAUUUGAAGAUAGGACAUUAUUUUACGGCUUUACCAUCUUGCCUGUGCCAAUUCGUUAUGAGAAACUGUAAAGAACUGUUCUUCUUAAGAUGCCAAAACUGUGUGCUGAUUUCUGCACUUCCUGAUGUGUACAUUGUGAAUGUGUACCAGAAUGAAAAUAAUAUUGUAGAUCCAUAGAAAGAAUUCUCGCAGGCAACAUGCAUUUUGAUGGAGUGUGAUAUGGGAGUUCCAUAAUGAAACCUGUCUAAAGCAUUAUAUCAGUUUCUGCUUUCGUUGGUCUAAAUCACUUUCAUGUAAGUCUUACAGAAGUGUUAGAAGUUACAAACGUUUGGUAAAGUUUUUGUGUAUAUGCAAAAUGGACUCUGUAUGCUUUCACCUUACCUCCCUUUGGCUAGUUUCUAUCGAAUAAAGUACAGCCAAUGAUAUCUCUUUUCCAGGACUCAUCCUGUAAACUGUGGCUCUCAUAUCUGCAUACAGUAUCAGCAUGUGACAGUUUGGAUUAAUUGACAGUGGGCUUUUCCAAACACCUGAUAACUUGGAAAACUGUUGUUGUUUUAGAUGUGAGGCCAUGUAGACUGGUAGAAUGUUACCACAACUUUGGAGGAACAUGUAAAGUGAUAAGACCCUGAAGAUGGAGGCCUCACAUUCCUCAGAGAUGUUGGUAACAUUUUACCAGACUGCAUGGUGUCACAUCCCAGAAGUCUGAAAUCUUCGUUGUUACAGCCAUGUUCCCAUGGAAGAUCUUAGCCGAAGAGUUGUUCACUUAGAGAGUAUACAUUGUAAUUGCACAUACAGGGAAUACACAGUCAUGAGUAGAUAGGAGUUGGUUUUGAUUUGACAUGGGAGUUAGGUGUAGGAACUGAGAACUGAGAGUUGCCUGUUCUGCAUUUGCUGAUACUUCUGAAUUGCAUGGCGACAGUGAGGAGGCUAUGGCUGGUACUUGGAAUGAAGGGUACAGCAUUCUGAGUUGUAGCAACGUGUAGUUCGGAGAGAGCCCCGCGUUUUGGAGGUGACAUAUUCUUCCUAAACAUUGGACCAUCUCCAAACUACACGUUGCUGCAACGCAGGACCCUAAACUCCUUAUAGACAUUGCCAUUAAAAACAUCAAAUCAAACAUGGUACUCAGAAUGUCUGUAUAAGUUACGUAAGUUGCUGUCUGAUUUCAGAGGUAAUUUAAGUAUAAAUUGGAUAGGAACUGCUGCAGCUUUGGGGUUGGUGCCGAGAUGUUAAGGCUUUUUUCUAAUUGGUACAGUUAGAAGUUUCUUGGCAGCUAAUUCCUCAAUAAUCUGACAAGCCAUAGUGAACAGUUUAGGCAUCGUAUUGAUGUAGAAUUCUGUAAUACAAGUGUAUGGAAGUAUGACUGCCAUAACUUGGCUGAAGUAAAGACAGAUGGGUUGCAGCAUAGCGAAAGCAAUAUGAAUCCCUUCAUUGAACUGUUACGUAAUCCAUAGAAUGUUUGACAGUUUAGGACUUACACUUUUGCAAGAUAUUUUACAUUCAUUGUAUCCAAAAAUUAUAUACACUGAAGUAAAUAUAAACAUUCUGACGUAUGUGAGGCUAUUUGGAUCCUUCUGGGUGGGAUAUUUGUAAUUUAUUUUAAUAAAUACUCUUCAGAGCCGA
This is an RNA transcript of Cryptotermes secundus, 2555 nucleotides long. It is a transcript of the gene named protein O-linked-mannose beta-1,2-N-acetylglucosaminyltransferase 1-like, with no coding region annotated. NCBI's taxonomy places the organism in Eukaryota, Metazoa, Arthropoda, Insecta, Blattodea, Kalotermitidae. The record is from RefSeq and is a predicted model, not a curated record. The transcript is spliced from 6 exons.